Molecule: long non-coding RNA, 1715 nt
Organism: Mus musculus (house mouse)
Lineage: Eukaryota; Metazoa; Chordata; Mammalia; Rodentia; Muridae
Product: predicted gene, 57789
Exons: 2
Source: RefSeq, a predicted model, not a curated record
AUCAGAUGCAAGGGGCAUGCCUGGGCUCUGUUCCCAUGAGGUAUCACUCACCUUCUAGAGCCUUGUCCUUGUGUCCUUAUUGGAUUCUUAUCUGGACCUAGCAAAGGGGGUUAGUCCUGGAAUUAAGUCCUCGUAUGUCACUGUAAAAGAUGACUUGACACAAACAACUUAAGGGAUUGUAUUAGUCAAGGUUUACUACUGUGAACAGACACCAUGACCAAGGCAUGGUGCAGUCUACAUCAUCAGAAGGCUGCUGGAAAAUACUGACUUCAGGCAGAUAGGAUGAGGAUCUUAAAGCCCACACCCACAGUGACACACCUACUUCUACAAGGCCACACCUCCUAAUAGUGUAUAUGCCCUGGCCCAGGCAUAUACAGUCCAUCACAGGAAGUAAAUGUUGACUUUGCUCAUGGUUUCAAUGGACUCAAACCAUAGUUGGUUGGCCCCAUGUCUUAGGCAGACAUCACAGGGCAACAGGAGAGGACCUUUGUUACAUGGUGGCCCGGGGGGUUGGGGCAGAGGGAACACACACAGGACUAAACAAGAUACCCAAGGACCAACUCCCAGUGACCUGUUUUCUCCAGCUAAGUCCCACCUCCUAACUUUUCCAAAACCUGCCACAACAGUACCACCAGCUUGUCACCAAUUGUCCUAAGUGUGAACUUCUUGGGGACCUAUCCUGCCCAAGCCACUCUCACUGUCUGCUCACAGAGCAACCCGGUGCCUGUCUCCUCUCCCAGUGUUCCUUUCUGAAAGCACAGAGGUCCUGAGAGGGAGCACCACUGAGGUCCUGAGAGGGAGCAUCACAGAGGUCCUGAGAGGGAGCACCACAGAGGUCCUGAGAGGGAGCACCACAGAGGUCCUGAGAGGGAGCACCACAGAGGUCCUGAGAGGGAGCACCACAGAGGUCCUGAGAGGGAGCACCACAGAGGUCCUGAGAGGGAACACCACAGAGGCUAGUGCUUUGACGGGAUCAGUGUUGAAGGCAAACCAAAGCGUGUCAUUUCUGCUGUCCCUGCACAAAGCCUUGCAGACCUACUGACCUGAAACUGAGCGGGUGGCUGAUCCCCAGAGCCUUAGCCUCUGUGGGAUCAGGAAAGACACCUUCCUGGUCUGUUCCUGAAGUUGAAAGCAAAGCUACAAAGGACCGAGGUUCUGAGCCUGAGUUGUUCCUACUUAACAUAUGGCCUAAGCCAAUUGUUGGCAAACAUUUCUGUCUAGAAGGCAGGAGUAGCUUUAGGAAAACUGGAAGAACCUGAGUGCUCACAACAGCUGAUACUCACCAGGACUUACUCUAUACCUAGUAUAGGGCUGUUUCCUUUCCAUUCACCUUCUCAGAUCAUAACAGUCACAGGAGAUGGACAUACUGUUCUCUCCUCUCUCUCUCUCUCUCUCUCUCUCUCUCUCAAAAAUAAAGUGAAGCUUAGAGGACGUGUAGCAGAUCUGAUUUGCAGUUCUUAGGCAAAUGGCUCCUGAGAAGACAUCCCCUCCACUGUGGGAGGAAAGGUUGUCUGUGGACCCAGCGCAUCCCGUGUCUUGCCAUAGGAACCUGAAAAGUGUUUCUCAGCUUGAUACAUUGCCGCCAUUGCACCUGGAAACCACACAGUACUCAAAUAGCCUUUUAACUAGUGUUAAAAGCUGUUGGGACAUUCCGACUUUAAUGGGAUGGAAAACUACAGGAGAUGAUUAGAAGAGAGGCCAGAUAAGAAUAAGAC